RNAcentral lists this ribosomal RNA (503 nucleotides) under Nannizzia gypsea. RNAcentral describes it as "eukaryotic LSU rRNA". It matches the Rfam family "Eukaryotic large subunit ribosomal RNA", at positions 98 to 601 of the family's 3401-position model. Lineage: Eukaryota; Fungi; Ascomycota; Eurotiomycetes; Onygenales; Arthrodermataceae. The record is from RNAcentral.
GCGGCAAGAGCUCAAAUUUGAAAUCUGGCCUCCUUCGGGGGUCCGAGUUGUAAUUUGUAGAGGAUGCUUCGGGUGUGGCCGCCGUCUAAGUUCCUUGGAACAGGACGUCAGAGAGGGUGAGAAUCCCGUCUUGGGCGGCUGGUCCGCGCCCGUGUGAAGCUCCUUCGACGAGUCGAGUUGUUUGGGAAUGCAGCUCUAAGCGGGUGGUAAAUUUCAUCUAAAGCUAAAUACUGGUCGGAGACCGAUAGCGCACAAGUAGAGUGAUCGAAAGGUUAAAAGCACCUUGAAAAGGGAGUUAAACAGCACGUGAAAUUGUUGAAAGGGAAGCGCUUGCGGCCAGACUCGGGGGCGGGGUUCAGCGGGUGCUCGUCGCCCGUGCACUCCCCGUCUCCCGGGCCAGCAUCAGUUUCGACGGCCGGUCAAAGGCCCCCGGAAUGUGUCGUCUCUCGGGACGUCUUAUAGCCGGGGGUGCAAUGCGGCCCGUUGGGACUGAGGAACGCGCU